CUACGGGUGGCUGCAGUGGGGAAUAUUGCACAAUGGAGGAAACUCUGAUGCAGCAACGCCGCGUGGAGGAUGACACUUUUCGGAGCGUAAACUCCUUUUAUAUAGGAAGAAGAUGACGGUACUAUAUGAAUAAGCGCCGGCUAACUCCGUGCCAGCAGCCGCGGUAAUACGGAGGGCGCAAGCGUUACUCGGAAUCACUGGGCGUAAAGAGCGUGUAGGCGGAUUAAAAAGUCAGAAGUGAAAUCCUAUAGCUUAACUAUAGAACUGCUUCUGAAACUCUUAAUCUAGAAUAUGGGAGAGGUAGAUGGAAUUUCUGGUGUAGGGGUAAAAUCCGUAGAGAUCUGGAGGAACAUCAGUGGCGAAGGCGGCCACCUGGAUCGUGAUUGACGCUGAGGUACGAAAGCGUGGGGAGCAAACAGGAUUAGAUACCCCUGUAGUC
RNAcentral lists this ribosomal RNA (439 nucleotides) under uncultured bacterium. Its description in RNAcentral is "partial 16S ribosomal RNA". It matches the Rfam family "Bacterial small subunit ribosomal RNA", at positions 339 to 795 of the family's 1533-position model. The record is from RNAcentral.